Ziziphus jujuba (common jujube) is the source of this 618-nucleotide long non-coding RNA. RefSeq lists it as uncharacterized. The transcript has 3 exons. NCBI's taxonomy places the organism in Eukaryota, Viridiplantae, Streptophyta, Magnoliopsida, Rosales, Rhamnaceae. The record is from RefSeq and is a predicted model, not a curated record.
GUUUGGUAAAGCUGUCAUUUGUUUAGUUACUAAUUGUGCAUAGCUUGUGGUUGUGGUCUCUGUAGCUAGAAAUCUGGUUUGUGAUUUUAUAUCAAAUGCUUGACAAUUGAGAGAACCUUUCUUAAAGAGAAAUCACAUAGGAUGAGUGGCAAAAUUUGUUCAAAUAAAUUCUUUUAUAUGUGGUUUUGUUCCUUUCUUUUGUAGACUUGGAUUACAUAUACUUGCAAAAAAGUUGUGUAAUUAGCUUUUGUUACUUAACCAUAUUGCAGAGUCCUUAGUAGAUACCAUUUAGCAUAAUAUGAGCUAGCUGUGCUUGGAAAUCUUUGCCCUGAAACUGUAGAGGAAGCUAAUGCUCUUGUGCCUUCUCUAAAGACGAAAGGACGAAGCCAUGACGAUGAAGCAAUAGAGAAAUUGUUGAAUGACCUACUAAUGGUAAAGAAAUUUGAGUGAGUUUCUCAGAGUUUUCUUUUACUUCAAAAUGAAUAAAACAUAUCUAGUUGUGGCAGACUAUAUAUCUUUUGCCUUACUCCAUUGCCAAUAAGAUGUUAAUGUUGAACACAGAGUACUUCAGCUGGUUGUUGUACCCAAAUUUCAACUUUAUCCUUAUUUCCUUUGUAC